GGAGAAAAGCAGGGGAUCGAAAGACCUUGCGCUUUUGGAGCGGCCGAUGUCUGAUUAGCUAGUUGGUGGGGUAAUGGCCUACCAAGGCGACGAUCAGUUGUUGGUCUGAGAGGACGACCAGCCACACUGGGACUGAGACACGGCCCAGACUCCUACGGGAGGCAGCAGUGGGGAAUUUUGGACAAUGGGCGCAAGCCUGAUCCAGCAAUGCCGCGUGAGUGAAGAAGGCCUUCGGGUUGUAAAGCUCUUUCAGUCGAGAAGAAAAGGCUGCAGUGAAUAACUGUAGUUUAUGACGGUAUCGACAGAAGAAGCACCGGCUAACUACGUGCCAGCAGCCGCGGUAAUACGUAGGGUGCGAGCGUUAAUCGGAAUUACUGGGCGUAAAGGGUGCGCAGG
This 396-nucleotide ribosomal RNA is filed under the name uncultured Nitrosomonas sp. RNAcentral describes it as "bacterial SSU rRNA". It matches the Rfam family "Bacterial small subunit ribosomal RNA", at positions 198 to 575 of the family's 1533-position model. Lineage: Bacteria; Pseudomonadati; Pseudomonadota; Betaproteobacteria; Nitrosomonadales; Nitrosomonadaceae. The record is from RNAcentral.